Molecule: ribosomal RNA, 301 nt
Filed under: uncultured bacterium
Lineage: Bacteria
Description: partial 16S ribosomal RNA
Rfam family: Bacterial small subunit ribosomal RNA
Source: RNAcentral
CAGCCGCCGCGGUAAUACGAAGGGUGCAAGCGUUACUCGGAAUUACUGGGCGUAAAGCGUGCGUAGGUGGUGGUUUAAGUCCGUUGUGAAAGCCCUGGGCUCAACCUGGGAAUUGCAGUGGAUACUGGGUCACUAGAGUGUGGUAGAGGAUAGUGGAAUUUCCGGUGUAGCAGUGAAAUGCGUAGAGAUCGGAAGGAACAUUUGUGGCGAAGGCGACUAUCUGGGCCAACACUGACACUGAGGCACGAAAGCGUGGGGAGCAAACAGGAUUAGAUACCCCGGUAGUCCCUGUCUCUUAUAC